RNAcentral lists this ribosomal RNA (557 nucleotides) under Mesorhizobium sp. RDB-098. RNAcentral describes it as "bacterial SSU rRNA". It matches the Rfam family "Bacterial small subunit ribosomal RNA", at positions 102 to 694 of the family's 1533-position model. Lineage: Bacteria; Pseudomonadati; Pseudomonadota; Alphaproteobacteria; Hyphomicrobiales; Phyllobacteriaceae. RNAcentral also lists the same sequence under 4 other names. The record is from RNAcentral.
ACGGGUGAGUAACGCGUGGGAAUCUACCCAUCUCUACGGAACAACUCCGGGAAACUGGAGCUAAUACCGUAUACGUCCUUCGGGAGAAAGAUUUAUCGGAGAUGGAUGAGCCCGCGUUGGAUUAGCUAGUUGGUGGGGUAAUGGCCUACCAAGGCGACGAUCCAUAGCUGGUCUGAGAGGAUGAUCAGCCACACUGGGACUGAGACACGGCCCAGACUCCUACGGGAGGCAGCAGUGGGGAAUAUUGGACAAUGGGCGAAAGCCUGAUCCAGCCAUGCCGCGUGAGUGAUGAAGGCCCUAGGGUUGUAAAGCUCUUUCAACGGUGAAGAUAAUGACGGUAACCGUAGAAGAAGCCCCGGCUAACUUCGUGCCAGCAGCCGCGGUAAUACGAAGGGGGCUAGCGUUGUUCGGAAUUACUGGGCGUAAAGCGCACGUAGGCGGAUACUUAAGUCAGGGGUGAAAUCCCGGGGCUCAACCCCGGAACUGCCUUUGAUACUGGGUAUCUCGAGUCCGGAAGAGGUGAGUGGAAUUCCGAGUGUAGAGGUGAAAUUCGUAGA